This 263-nucleotide long non-coding RNA is filed under the name Linum usitatissimum (flax). RNAcentral's name for it is "long non-coding RNA (LUSI_LNC004273)". The record is from RNAcentral. Lineage: Eukaryota; Viridiplantae; Streptophyta; Magnoliopsida; Malpighiales; Linaceae.
UCAAAGAUGAAGUGAAGAUAGGCUACAAAAUAGAAGAUCUGAUAGAAUACUUAUAAAAUAGGCUAAACUUGGGGAAGCAGUUGUGAUUGAAAGGAGAGAACUCCAUAGACAGUUGAAUCCCAACUGAUGUGGGUUAAUUUUUCGAUUAGAAACCGCUCCGCAGCAGCGAAAGUGGAAGCGAACACAGGGUGAGCAGCGAUUCAUGCUGAGGAAAUUUGGGCCCGAAUUAGGACAAACAAUAUGGGAAUCGAAGAGAAUGGAAG